This is a long non-coding RNA of Bactrocera neohumeralis, 199 nucleotides long. RefSeq lists it as uncharacterized. The transcript has 2 exons. The record is from RefSeq and is a predicted model, not a curated record. Lineage: Eukaryota; Metazoa; Arthropoda; Insecta; Diptera; Tephritidae.
UAGAUACCGCGAAAUCAACUUAGCUCAAUACAAGAUAUUACAAGACAUUUCGAAAUGACGGAUAACGUUACUUUUACAAGUUUUUUACGAAUGCAGGUCGGUCGGGUAGUAUACGUAUACUAAUCUGUAAUAAAUAAAAGAGUUCAAAUUCCAUCUGAGCCAUAAAGGAAAAAAACUAAAUUGUUUAAUACAAACAUAA